Molecule: unclassified non-coding RNA, 492 nt
Filed under: Ozothamnus purpurascens
Lineage: Eukaryota; Viridiplantae; Streptophyta; Magnoliopsida; Asterales; Asteraceae
Description: partial external transcribed spacer
Source: RNAcentral
UUUUGGCUAAUGGUGGCCUUCCUUGCAUUUGAGCUUGGUUGGUGGUUGUUAGCUGGGUGGUUUCGGGGAUGUCUACCGUAAAGGUGCAUGAGUGGUGUUUGGUUUGUUACGGGUGGUUGGCUCUUUGCUUGCGCAACAACUUCCACCUGGCAUACCUCUUCAGUUUUGUGUCAAUGCUUGUAUCGCAUUGAAUGCACGGUGGGUUUCUUGUGUUGCAUGCCUAAUUGAUGGUAUCGUUUGACGAAUCGAUGUUUAUUUUCGUCUUGUGUUGCACAUGCGAUGCGAGAUGAACCUUAAAGUAGCCUUUGUGAUCCACUCUUUUGAUGCACAUGCAUCGAUUUUGUGGCUCAUUGAGUGUUUGCUUGGUCUCAUGGAUAUGGAACCUUGUGUGGGCAUGUGAUCUUUUAGUAGCUCCUUGUUUGCCCUAGUUAAGCUUUUCAAAUACGAUUUCCUAUCAUGUUCUAACGUGGUAGGCUAUAUCGAAUAUGAAUG